GCUGGCGGUCACAGCGGAGUGGCUACACCUGCUCUCUUUCCGAACGCAGAAGUUAAGCACUCCAGCGAUGUGGUUUGUACUGCAUUUCAUGCGGGAAGGCCGCGACGCUGCCUAGC
This 116-nucleotide ribosomal RNA is filed under the name Nanobdellati archaeon. Lineage: Archaea; Nanobdellati. The record is from RNAcentral.